Podarcis lilfordi (Lilford's wall lizard) is the source of this 1903-nucleotide non-coding RNA. The record is from the annotation of a GenBank genome assembly. NCBI's taxonomy places the organism in Eukaryota, Metazoa, Chordata, Lepidosauria, Squamata, Lacertidae.
AGUGGGGCAGUUGCUGAUAGGGCGCGAGCUGUGCUUGCGUCACUCCGGUUCUUUCGUUUUGUGAGGCGACGCUGAGGCGGGGAGCGGGGGGGGUGUUGCGCUGAUGGACUCCAAUUCCCAUCAGCCCCAGUCAGCAUGGCCGAUCGUGAGGAGUGAUGGGAGUUGUAUUCCGGCAAUUACAUAAAUACACACACGUGUGUACAUACAGUAUAAUUCUAUUACCUAUGCAUAUUAAUAUAAUAUAAAAAAUCCCCGAAGGAUUACAGGUUUACCGUAUCUCCGUUGCGCAUUUAUUAGGAAGCAAGGAGCAUUGAACUCAACAUGAUUUAAUUCCAGGUAAACAUACACACAUACAGAGUCGCUCUUCCCGAUUCUCUAGUGGCAAUUUUGCCAUCUUCAGGCGGGUGGGGGUAAUCUGUGGCGGAUCUGAAGAGCACUAUGGUGAGGGUAGUUUAAUGUAUCAGUCAGACAAACAUCUAGGGUUCCAGACCUCUCCCCCAUGGAGGUUUUGUGUCUCUUAGCACAGUUGAAUAACAGACAGAAAAUCAACAUGUCAUGUCCUCUCGCCCCCCCCCCCCAAAUCUGCAUAUUUUAAGAUAAGUCUUGAAACGUUUGUGGCCCCACAACGUUUGGGAAACUGCCCUGGGAAGUUACUACUGUAUAGCCCUUUCCAUGUAUGCAAUACCUUUAAGGGUAAAGGUAAAGGGACCCCUGACCAUUAGGUCCAGUCGUGACCAACACUGGGGUUGCGGCGCUCAUCUCGCUUUAUUGGCCAAGGGAGCCGCCGUACAGCUUCUGGGUCAUGUGGCCAACAUGACUAAGCCGCUUCUGGUGAACCAGAGCGGCACAUGGAAACACCGUUUACCUUCCCGCCAGAGCGGUACCUAUUUAUCUACGUGCACUUUGACGUGCUUUCGAACUGCUAGGUUGGCAGGAACAGGGACCAAGCAACGGGAGCUCACCCCAUUGCGGGGAUUUGAACUGCCGACCUUCUGAUCGGCAAGUCCUAGGCUCUGUGGUUUAACCCACAGCGCCACCCGUGUCCCAUGCAAUACCUUUAAAAAGGUAAAGGUACCCCUGCCCGUACGGGCCAGUCGUGUCCGACUCUGGGGUUGUGCGCCCAUCUCACUUAAAGGCCGGGGGCCAGCGCUGUCCGGAGACACUUCCGGGUCACGUGGCCAGCGUGACGAAGCUGCUCUGGCGAGCCAGCACCAGCGCAGCACACGGAAACGCCGUUUACCUUCCCGCCGGAGCGGUACCUAUUUAUCUACUUGCACUUUGACGUGCUUUCGAACUGCUAGGUUGGCAGGAGCAGGGACCGAGCAAUGGGAGCUCACCCCAUUGCGGGGAUUUGAACUGCUGACCUUCUGAUCGGCAAGCCCUAGGCGCUGACGUUUUACCCACAGCGCCACCCGCGUCCCCUUUAGGAGGUUCUAAAUACUUACUUGGUUACUGCACUUUGAAUUGAAGUUUUAUAUGCUGCUAUCUUAUUUUUUAUUUUAAUUAUUGAGGCACUUAAUGGACUGAUUAUUUAGCCUGUAUUAUUUAGUGUGUUGUAAUUCGCACUGUAGAGGUUUUGCCAGAAACGCAGGCUAGAAAUCUGUGAAAUAAAUGGAUAUAACAGCAAAAUCAACAAAUUGUCUCACAUUCCAGAAAGAUUGGUGAAGGCUGAUGCCAUUGCUGAAGGCUUAAUUUGCUAACAGGAGAUACAGCUUCAAAUCUGAACUCACUCCAUGAGGCUCACUGGACAGCUUUGGGCAAGUCAUCAUCUCUCACCUUAACCUGCUUCACAGGGGCCUUGGAAGGGUAAAUUAAGCUGUGUGGCAAAACAUUUCACCCACUUCAAGCUACUGUAGAAAUUAAUAAUAGCAGAAAUAUAUACAUAAUUUCCUUUGUCUAAUAU